CUGGUUACAUCUUCUUUUCAGCCUCUUCACUGAAACCUCAGAUAAUCCUCCCUCACACGACUGCUUGAUUUCUGAGGCACCCUGAGGUUCUGGCUGAUGUUUCCCCAGUGGUGCCCUGAACACGGAGAUGUGGCACUGAGGGACACGGUUAGCGGGCAGCGCUGGUGUUGCAGAUGAAGAAGAAGAGCACCAAGUUCAUGUCCCUUGGAUCCUGGAGGAAUGCUCAGCAGAUGAGCAGUGGAUGGUGUGGAAGCACCAUCUCAGGGCUCCUGGCAAGAAGAUGCCAAAAUUUAAAAGAAAGCGUAACUGAAAUGAAUGGACUUUUUUUACACAAGGAACCUUAAGCUCUUUUUCAGUUUUGCCGGCAUAAAAUGAAGAUGCAUAAAAUGUCCUGCCAGCAGCAUCCUCAGUUUCCAGCAGCCUGGUCGGGGUAUGAACCAGGGCCCUCCUGCCAAACUCAAGACGUUUUUAUCCUCCUCCCUUCCUUCCUGGGAAGUAAAGGGAGCAGCAAGAAAAGAAAAAUCAAAUCUCUUCACCGGGGCCUGGGCAAAUAGCCGGCUCUCUAGUGCCUCCAAGUUCUUUCUGUUUAAUAAAACACAGCAGAGGAGGCUCUCUCAGGAGGCUCUCUUUGCUUCAUUCAGUACUUCAGGGUCAAUGUUUUAACAACUUAUUUUUUCUCACACUUGUACUAUUACAAUGUGUUUGUGCCGGUGCGACUCAGUGAAAAACAGGCAGAGAAGAAUUAACUACUGGGAUCCUGUCCCAUAACAUCUAAAUGAGCACAGUGACACAGAAAUAUGCUCCCCCAUGGCCAGCAGGAAGUUUCUCAGGUGCUGCUGCCCGCUUUGCAGGGGAAGACCUGAACAGUGAGCAGCAGAUCUGCGCUGGUGCAUUAAGGAAGAUGCACAGGCCUGAGAUGAUCUGUCUGAAGCCUGGGACUUAAUUUAAUAAGUUGAAGUUGAGUUAGCACCGUUGAGCCUCUGGGGCCGCAUCUUGCAUCAGAAAGAACACAGCUCGUUAUCAUUCCUGAACUAUGCUCCUCUCAGUCGCUGCGCUGGGUAAUGUGAGGUGACACGUGGAGGAAAACAGGAUCUCUUCCAGCAUAUGUGAAAAGGGCAAAUCAAGAGGACAAACAUACGACAGCAAAAAAGAGCAGCAAGGAAGGAAAUUGCAGGCAUGUUUAUGAUGGAAACUUAUUUACAGCCCUGCUGCUGGAGGGAUCAGGGCUCAGCACUCAGCCCUGCCAGCCAUGCCAGAGCUAAGCAAUCCCGAGCAAGUGAUGGGAACAUUUAAGACAUCGGUCUUAGAUUGUCUUUCCGAUCACAGGUUCACAGCAUCUUUGCAAAAGGCGCAGUUGUCUUGACAGCUAUGCCAGCCUCUUCCCGGGGACAGCAGCAAAAGGAGGGAGAGGGAGGGAGGGGGGAGAGCGGAGAGGUGGGAUGAGGAAGAAAAACAGCACACGAGGAGGGAAUUAGCAGUGCCAGCCGAGCGUCGUAUUUGGGGUCUGAUGAGGACACAGCGGAGCAGGAGAUGUUUGGUUCGCCGGGCAAGUUGGCGUGGGCGUUGCACAGAUGCGGGGGAUGCGGAUCGAACGGGGAGGGUCAGGAUGGAUUUGGGGACACGGGGAGAUGCUGCAAGCGGUGGCUAUGACGCGCAGCCCGCCCGUUCAGGAUCACGCAUCCCGCCGUUCCUCCCUAGCGAUCCUCGAUAAACAACGUACGAAAAGGACGGUGACCUCAUCCCAGUGAAACUGGCCAAACACCACACAUUUCUCCGUGCUCGGCUCUGCCGGUCCCUACGCUCCCCACGUCCCCGGGCGGCUGCAGCCCCUUCGCACAGCUCCCGCCGAGCACCCCGGAGCGGCCGAGCCUCUUCCUCCGCUCCCAGCCCGCUGCGGGGAGCCGACAAGCCGUAUCGUGCUCCCUGCGUAAAAGAGACACCUCUGAUGCCCGUCAAACAUCUGCCCUAAUCAGGACAUAACACGAUACAAGCGGAGCUUGAUGCAGGCAUUUAUUUCAGCCGGCUGGCCGGGCUGACGGGCUGCUAACGGCUGUCAGCAUCUCCUCCUCUCCCGGCGCCGGGGAGCGCAGUGCCCGGCUCAGCCCGGGGGUCGGCACCCGCUCUCCCGCCCGGGGCGAGACGCUCCGACUCGCGGCUCCUUUCUGCUCUUUUCCAGACUCUUCUCUCCCUCCCUCCCCGCGCUCGUUUUUCUUUUCUUUCUUCUUUUUUUUUUUUUUU
This 2238-nucleotide long non-coding RNA is filed under the name Gallus gallus (chicken). RNAcentral's name for it is "lncRNA (ENSGALG00010018442.1)". The record is from RNAcentral. Lineage: Eukaryota; Metazoa; Chordata; Aves; Galliformes; Phasianidae.